CCCUUAGAUGUUCUGGGCCGCACGCGUGCUACACUGAGUGGAUCAGCGGGUCAGGUUGCGCGAAAGUGUUUCCUAAUCUUGAAAUCCGCUCGUGAUGGGGAUUGACGGUUGCAAUUUUCCGUCAUGAACGAGGAAUACCUUGUAAGCGCGGGUCAUCAUCCCGCGCUGAAUACGUCCCUGCCCUUUGUACACACCGCCCGUCGCUCUUACCGAUUGAGUGGUCCGGUGAGGCUUUGGGAUCUGAGCAAAGAGAGCGUUUCGCUCGUUUUGCCCGGAAAACUCAGUCGAACCUUAUCAUUUAGAGGAAGGAGAAGUCGUAACA
Molecule: ribosomal RNA, 322 nt
Filed under: uncultured eukaryote
Lineage: Eukaryota
Description: partial 18S ribosomal RNA
Rfam family: Eukaryotic small subunit ribosomal RNA
Source: RNAcentral